Molecule: transfer RNA, 75 nt
Filed under: Streptoalloteichus tenebrarius
Lineage: Bacteria; Bacillati; Actinomycetota; Actinomycetes; Pseudonocardiales; Pseudonocardiaceae
Also listed under: 134 other names
Description: tRNA-Val
Rfam family: tRNA
About the family: Transfer RNA (tRNA) molecules are approximately 80 nucleotides in length. Their secondary structure includes four short double-helical elements and three loops (D, anti-codon, and T loops).
Source: RNAcentral
GGGCGAUUAGCUCAGUGGGAGAGCGCUACCUUGACACGGUAGAGGUCACUGGUUCAAUCCCAGUAUCGCCCACCA